Molecule: small nucleolar RNA, 132 nt
Organism: Acomys russatus (golden spiny mouse)
Lineage: Eukaryota; Metazoa; Chordata; Mammalia; Rodentia; Muridae
Product: small nucleolar RNA SNORA17
Exons: 1
Source: RefSeq, a predicted model, not a curated record
UUUGCCCAGAGAGGUGCUGCAGUUGUGGCUGCUGUGUCCAUUGUGCGUCAAGAGGUGGCAGAGAGAAGAGAGGCUAUGUCUAUGCUCAGUGUUCUGAGCUGUGAACAUCUGGAUGGUUAGUAGCUUAACUUU